UUACAUGUACAUGUGAACACUGAGCAUCUAGUAGUCUCUCUAUUGACCCAGUGAAAACACAAGUCUAGUCGCAGAGUAAAAGGGCAGUCGGGACAGGAGAGGGAGGAUUCAGUCGAGACAGGAUUCAGUCAUGGAAAGAGUAAAAGGGCAGGCGAGACAGGAGAGGGAGGAUUCAGUCAUGGAAAGAGUAAAAGGGCAGUCGAGACAGGAGAGGGAGGAUUCAGUCGAGACAGGAUUCAGUCAUGGAAAGAGUAAAAGGGCAGGUGAGACAGGAGAGGGAGGAUUCAGUCAUGGAAAGAGUAAAAGGGCAGUCGAGACAGGAGAGGGAGGAUUCAGUCGAGACAGGAUUCAGUCAUGGAAAGAGUAAAAGGGCAGGCGAGACAGGAGAGGGAGGAUUCAGUCAUGGAAAGAGUAAAAGGGCAGGUGAGACAGGAGAGGGAGGAUUCAGUCAUGGAAAGAGUAAAAGGGCAGUCGAGACAGGAGAGGGAGGAUUCAGUCGAGACAGGAUUCAGUCAUGGAAAGAGUAAAAGGGCAGGCGAGACAGGAGAGGGAGGAUUCAGUCGAGACAGGAUUCAGUCAUGGAAAGAGUAAAAGGGCAGGUGAGACAGGAGAGGGAGGAUUCAGUCAUGGAAAGAGUAAAAGGGCAGUCGAGACAGGAGAGGGAGGAUUCAGUCGAGACAGGAUUCAGUCAUGGAAAGAGUAAAAGGGCAGGCGAGACAGGAGAGGGAGGAUUCAGUCGAGACAGGAUUCAGUCAUGGAAAGAGUAAAAGGGCAUUCGAGACAGGAGAGGGAGGAUUCAGUCGAGACAGGAUUCAGUCAUGGAAAGAGUAAAAGGGCAGGCGAGACAGGAGAGGGAGGAUUCAGUCGAGACAGGAUUCAGUCAUGGAAAGAGUAAAAGGGCAGGUGAGACAGGAGAGGGAGAAUUCAGUCGAGACAGGAGAGGGAGGAUUCAGUCAUGGAAUGAGUAAAAGAGCAGGCGAGACAGGAGAGGGAGGAUUCAGUCGAGACAGGAGAGGGAGGAUUCAGUCGAGACAGGAGAGGGAGGAUUCAGUCAUGGAAAGAGUAAAAGGGCAGGUGAGACAGGAGAGGGAGGAUUCAGUCGAGACAGGAUUCAGUCAUGGAAAGAGUAAAAGGGCAGGCGAGACAGGAGAGGGAGGAUUCAGUCGAGACAGGAGAGGGAGGAUUCAGUCAUGGAAAGAGUAAAAGGGCAGGUGAGACAGGAGAGGGAGGAUUCAGUCAUGGAAAGAGUAAAAGGGCAGGCGAGACAGGAGAGGGAGGAUUCAGUCAUGGAAAGAGUAAAAGGGCAGUCGAGACAGGAGAGGGAGGAUUCAGUCGAGACAGGAGAGGGAGGAUUCAGUCGAGACAGGAGAGGGAGGAUUCAGUCAUGGAAAGAGUAAAAGGGCAGGUGAGAUAGGAGAGGGAGGAUUCAGUCAUGGAAAGAGUAAAAGGGCAGGUGAGACAGGAGAGGGAGGAUUCAGUCGAGACAGGAGAGGGAGGAUUCAGUCGAGACAGGAGAGGGAGGAUUCAGUCAUGGAAAGAGUAAAAGGGCAGGUGAGACAGGAGAGGGAGGAUUCAGUCAUGGAAAGAGUAAAAGGGCAGGUGAGACAGGAGAGGGAGGAUUCAGUCAUGGAAAGAGUAAUAGGGCAGGCGAGACAGGAGAGGGAGGAUUCAGUCAUGGAAAGAGUAAAAGGGCAGGUGAGACAGGAGAGGGAGGAUUCAGUCAUGGAAAGAGUAAAAGGGCAGGUGAGACAGGAGAGGGAGGAUUCAGUCAUGGAAAGAGUAAUAGGGCAGUCGAGACAGGAGAGGGAGGAUUCAGUCAUGGAAAGAGUAAAAGGGCAGGCGAGACAGGAGAGGGAGGAUUCAGUCGAGACAGGAGAGGGAGGAUUCAGUCAUGGAAAGAGUAAAAGGGCAGUCGAGACAGGAGAGGGAGGAUUCAGUCAUGGAAAGAGUAAUAGGGCAGUCGAGACAGGAGAGGGAGGAUUCAGUCAUGGAAAGAGUAAAAGGGCAGGCGAGACAGGAGAGGGAGGAUUCAGUCGAGACAGGAGAGGGAGGAUUCAGUCAUGGAAAGAGUAAAAGGGCAGUCGAGACAGGAGAGGGAGGAUUCAGUCGAGACAGGAUUCAGUCAUGGAAAGAGUAAAAGGGCAGGUGAGACAGGAGAGGGAGGAUUCAGUCAUGGAAAGAGUA
Oncorhynchus keta (chum salmon) is the source of this 2184-nucleotide long non-coding RNA. RefSeq lists it as uncharacterized. The record is from RefSeq and is a predicted model, not a curated record. The transcript is spliced from 3 exons. Lineage: Eukaryota; Metazoa; Chordata; Actinopteri; Salmoniformes; Salmonidae.